AUAUAUUCGUGCUAUUAGCUAGAAAUGAAGCAUGAAGAUCAAAGAUGUGGUAAAGUAUAAAUCACUAUAGGCAUUGUUACGUACACCAGUCUUUUUUCAGAUUACAUCGGAGAUGUGACGUCACGAAGUGGUGAUGACGCAACAGAAGAACCCACUUCAAAAUGGUAUGUGACGUCACAGAGGAUCAAGAGGACAAAGCGCGAAUCGAAAAUAAAGACGAAGACCAAAGACAAGACGAAGACGACGAUUAGGAUGCCGGUUUGAGGUGUUGCUUAGGCUUAGGCGUUGCGUGUUUUUGGAGUGUGGCUGCUGGAGCACUCUUACAGUGUUGCCGGAUUCGUGUCUGUUUCUCAUUUUCGCUGGACCUAAUAUGGCCAGCCUUAUGGUCAGUCACUACUUUAGUGCAUUUUGCAUGUCUCUGAAAUAUAUGCAAUGAAACUAUGGCAAACAUCUUGCUGGAUCGGAUUUUGUUGUUGUAUACACGUCAUUGAGUGUUUCUUCUGCAAAGGCCGAAUCCUUUAGCGAUUCUGCAUUGUCCUAAUCACUUGGUAAGAACGGCAUGUUGGUACACAAAUACUUGAGUAAUAUCCACGCGCAUUAUAAUAUACACGCGGUUAAAAUUUUAAACUUCUUUUCACUCCUUUUUCAUUAAUUAGUUGUCCAUUUUAACUUUGGCUAUUUUUUACAAAAGCCUAAUUGUGACGCUGGCCACGUUACAAUUACGCUAUACGUCGAUGGGUCUUAAACCCAGCGUUCGGUGCGGUUACGUCACUGUUCUAGACUGAGUUACGUUACUGUUGGGUUGUUGCGUAGACGUCGCCGCCAGUGAUGCUACGCUAGUUUUAGGUCACUAUCGGUACUGUGAUGCUACGCUCAUUCAUUUAGGUCACUACCGGUACAGUGGUGCUACGCUCGGUUAUUUAGAUCACUAUUAGUGCGGUUCGUAACAACCUGACGCAGUUUCAUAACGGUCGAAGCGGUGCUUAACAUCCGAACGAUAUUAUAUUGCGUGAAGAUACGACGAGAGUAUCGCGGUACCAACAUGGCGACUUACCUUUUAAUUGGGACAUGCGGAGCCGUUAUUGGCUUCGACUCCUUGUGGCUGGACAUUUAAUAAUUUGUACACUGCAGCUGAUUAUCUUUUAGGAUUUGAACCAUGUUUUCUUUGAAUAUGUUUCAAUGAUUAUGUCCGUGUUAAUCACUUUUUUAUAACUGUCCCAUUUUUGGUUAUGAUUGAGCUGUUACGUGUAUAUUGCAUGGUUUUCGCACUUUUUGAAUUUGCACUUCGUUAGUAUUAUUUUUGUAUUUUUGUCGUGCACAUGUGUAUGUGCAUUCGUUGUAUCAUUUUUGUCUAUGGGGGUUUCUUUAACCUGCGUGGACAGUAACAUCCCGCAAGGGUUUCUCACCAGAGUAGAAACCCACUACCAUUG
Molecule: non-coding RNA, 1430 nt
Organism: Ciona intestinalis (vase tunicate)
Lineage: Eukaryota; Metazoa; Chordata; Ascidiacea; Phlebobranchia; Cionidae
Source: RefSeq, a predicted model, not a curated record